This 1036-nucleotide long non-coding RNA is filed under the name Equus caballus (horse). RNAcentral's name for it is "lncRNA (ENSECAG00000048043.1)". The record is from RNAcentral. Lineage: Eukaryota; Metazoa; Chordata; Mammalia; Perissodactyla; Equidae.
UUCAGCUUCUUGCUCCUUCCCCUUUGAAUUUUGACAUUUAAACAAAGAAAUGACUGAAUUCUUAUUUUAUUUACACUGUGGUACAUUGAAUGCCUCUCUUCCUCCCAAUUCUUCACUCCUCUCUGCAUCCACACCCUUGCCAUGGGACUUGGGAUUGGUUAUGGGACUUGACCCUGGCCAUGUGACUUGCUUUGGCCAAUAGCAUGUGGACAGAAGUGACAGGGUAGCAGAGCCAACCCUCGGCCUUCCUUGUAUGUUUCUGUUCACAUUCUUGAGCCUCGGCCAUCCCCCUGAGAAGAUCAUGCCCCAGCUGACUGCUGGUGCAAAGACCUGAGAGCCGUGUGGAGCAGAGCUGCCUAGCCAAGUCAUAGACCUACAGUGACAAGAAGAGGUGCCUAGCCAAGUCAUAGACCUACAGGGACAAGAAGAGGUGCCUAGCCAAGUCAUAGACCUACAGGGACAAGAAGAGGUGCCUAGCUGAGUCAUAGAGCUACCAUGAGAAGAAGAGGUACCUAGCUGAGUCAUAGACCUACCGUGAGAAGAAGAGCUGCCUAGCCAAGUCAUAGACCUACAGGGACAAGAAGAGGUGCCUAGCCAAGUCAUAGACCUACCGUGAAAAGAAGAGGUGCCUAGCCAAGCCCAGACUAGAUCACCCAAACCCCAGCUGGCCAGCGGAUGGGGAAGUGAUAAUCGCUGAUUGUUGUUAAGCUGCUGAGACUUGAGAAGGUUUGUCACACAGCGAUAGCUAACUGCUAUAUCUACCCACUUGCCACAACAGUGUGAAGGAGUAGGUUUUACUACCAUAGGCCUUUGAAGAGCUAACUUAUGUAUUAAGUCUGGUUAAGUGUUCCUAAUUUCUGAGUUCCUAAUUUAAGGGAUAGUCGUCCCUCGUUUCAAGGGCAUUUCUAAAGGGCUAGAAGAAGGGAAGAGGAAAGAAUGCUUUCUGUGUGCUCAGCACAGCGCUCAAUGCUUUCGCCUGGGUCAAGUUACAUGGAAUCUGUUGACCAUGAAGGCGUCACAGGCCUCCCUCUGCCAG